GGAGUAAGAUUUUUUUAUUUAUAAAAAUAAAUAAUUUUUAUUAAUGCCUCUGGAUUUUCACAUUUCCUUGACAAAGUCACAAAGGAUCCCCACACAAUCCUGAAUUGUUCCCAUAAGAGUUGUUUUCAAAUUUAUUAAAUUGCUUCCCUGGAGGGGUAGGACCUGUAAGAUGGUUGCAGGACACAAUGAAAACAGCAAGGAAAGUAAGUAGCAUUAAUUGCUGAGGAAUCCUUCCUAAGAG
This 241-nucleotide unclassified non-coding RNA is filed under the name Hevea brasiliensis (rubber tree). The record is from RNAcentral. Lineage: Eukaryota; Viridiplantae; Streptophyta; Magnoliopsida; Malpighiales; Euphorbiaceae.